AGAGUUUGAUCCUGGCUCAGAUUGAACGCUGGCGGCAGGCUUAACACAUGCAAGUCGAGCGGAAACGAUGAUAGCUUGCUAUCAGGCGUCGAGCGGCGGACGGGUGAGUAAUGCUUGGGAAUAUGCCUUUUGGUGGGGGACAACAGUUGGAAACGACUGCUAAUACCGCAUAAUGUUUACGGACCAAAGCGGGGGACUCUUCGGAACCUCGUGCCAAAAGAUUAGCCCAAGUGAGAUUAGCUAGUUGGUGGGGUAAAGGCCUACCAAGGCGACGAUCUCUAGCUGGUUUGAGAGGAUGAUCAGCCACACUGGGACUGAGACACGGCCCAGACUCCUACGGGAGGCAGCAGUGGGGAAUAUUGCACAAUGGGGGAAACCCUGAUGCAGCCAUGCCGCGUGUGUGAAGAAGGCCUUCGGGUUGUAAAGCACUUUCAGUCGUGAGGAAAGGGGUGUAGCUAAUACCUGCAUCCUGUGACGUUAGCGACAGAAGAAGCACCGGCUAACUCCGUGCCAGCAGCCGCGGUAAUACGGAGGGUGCGAGCGUUAAUCGGAAUUACUGGGCGUAAAGCGUGCGUAGGCGGUUUGAUAAGCCAGAUGUGAAAUCCCGGGGCUUAACCUCGGAACUGCAUUUGGAACUGUUUGACUAGAGUACUGUAGAGGGUGGUGGAAUUUCCAGUGUAGCGGUGAAAUGCGUAGAGAUUGGAAGGAACAUCAGUGGCGAAGGCGGCCACCUGGACAGAUACUGACGCUGAGGCACGAAAGCGUGGGGAGCGAACAGGAUUAGAUACCCUGGUAGUCCACGCCGUAAACGAUGUCAACUAGCUGUUUGUGUUCUUGAAACGUGAGUAGCGUAGCUAACGCGCUAAGUUGACCGCCUGGGGAGUACGGCCGCAAGGUUAAAACUCAAAUGAAUUGACGGGGGCCCGCACAAGCGGUGGAGCAUGUGGUUUAAUUCGAUGCAACGCGAAGAACCUUACCAUCCCUUGACAUCCAGAGAAUUUUCUAGAGAUAGAUUAGUGCCUUCGGGAACUCUGAGACAGGUGCUGCAUGGCUGUCGUCAGCUCGUG
This 1067-nucleotide ribosomal RNA is filed under the name uncultured bacterium. RNAcentral's name for it is "bacterial SSU rRNA". It matches the Rfam family "Bacterial small subunit ribosomal RNA", at positions 8 to 1064 of the family's 1533-position model. The record is from RNAcentral.